AUUUAUAUAGUUUAAAUAAAACAUUACAUUUUCAUUGUAAAAAUAAAAUAUAAAUUAAUUUUUAUAAAUA
This is a non-coding RNA of Manduca sexta (tobacco hornworm), 70 nucleotides long. The record is from the annotation of a RefSeq genome assembly. Lineage: Eukaryota; Metazoa; Arthropoda; Insecta; Lepidoptera; Sphingidae.